RNAcentral lists this non-coding RNA (28 nucleotides) under Homo sapiens (human). The record is from RNAcentral. Lineage: Eukaryota; Metazoa; Chordata; Mammalia; Primates; Hominidae.
UGACUCCAGACUUUGGGUGCUGACAAGC